This is a long non-coding RNA of Numida meleagris (helmeted guineafowl), 2563 nucleotides long. RefSeq lists it as uncharacterized. NCBI's taxonomy places the organism in Eukaryota, Metazoa, Chordata, Aves, Galliformes, Numididae. The record is from RefSeq and is a predicted model, not a curated record. The transcript is spliced from 3 exons.
UAAAAGGGGUGGAGCCAGGAUCCACCCCUUCCCAGACCUCAUUUAAGAGUUGGCAGGGGGAGAGGUGAGGGUAUUUUGCUGAAGAUCCUUGCUUACUGGAGGCUGUCUGAAGCUUGAACUUACAGGAGAUCUUGUGCUCAGCAUGAUCAUCUUGAUGGAAGCUGGUCGGUGAGACCGUUGCUGACUGUGUCAGGCAGUUAACGUGGAGUCAUUAGAAGAUAGCAGUGGCAAAUGGGCAUCUACGUCUGGAUAAAAGACACUGUGCUAGAUGGAUCGUUGGUCUGAAACAUCGUAGCUAUUAUCUCUGGAAAGCCAGGCUCAAGGAAUUGUUUCUUAAUUCCCUGCAGUUGUUUCUCAUUACUUACAAAUUAUACCAGAAGUGCAUGUUACAACUGAGGGACAAAACAACUGCUCUUGCUGAUGUUCUCAAAAAUCUCAUGCUGAAGCAAGGUAACAAGAAAUGCAAAGAGCACUAGAGCAGUAGAGGUGGAAUGUGGCUUAGGGUAGACUUACAUCUGAGGAAUGCCAUGAAAGGAUCUGUGCUCAUUCUUCUCCACACAGAACCACUUUCUUUAAUUGUUGUACACAGUUUGUGUUGCUUGUUAUGAGCUGACACAAGAUGGAAAAUAUUUACUUUGAAUAGUUGAUGACAGAGCUUUAUAGUUUGAUGUCACCUGAUUUAUUGCGAAAUAACUAUUCUAUGAUGCAAACUUGGUUUGGAAAUCUUGUAAAAACAUGAAUUACUUAUACCUUUACAGGCUUUAUUUAAUUCAUCUUGUUAUUACUCCCUUUUACAUGGCAUUGUCAUUUUGUAAAUUAUCAAAAGGUGAUUUUAAAUUUGUGUUAAUGGCAUUUGUUAAUAGUGUCCACCUGGAAAUGUAUAUUUUGGUAUGUCAUACAAUGUAUUGGUACUGCACCCUUUAGUCACUUACAACUCAGCUGUUACUGAGGAUGGUUUCUGUUGCAAGAUAGGGAGCUCUUCCGCACCUAAGUCACUGAAUUGCAGUUCUAUCCAUUCAUCACAUUUUUAUUUUGUCUUCUGUUCUGGAAAUUCUUCCCAGCUCCUGCUAUGAAUGCAAAUGUGUGGCUGGUAACAGACUCAUUCCAGGCAUGCUGUUCAUCAUGUGAGAUGUGAACUAAAUAAAUGUAGUUCAUGUGAUAUGUGUGCUGUUCCAUGUGGCACAUGAUCGUAUGGUCUCGUACCUGAAACCAAAAACUGUUAAAGAUUAGCGCUGCUCUGAAAAUAAUGCCUCCUAUUUUACUCUGGCUCAUGAUGUCAGCCCCCAAGAAACCAACUAACUCCCUAAACAAAAAUAAACAUGUAAGCUGAAUGAGUAACAUAAAAGGGGCAUGCACAUCAGGCUGAAGAAGGAGAGCACUGCAGGCAUUUCCUUCUGUGAAGAAAGUUUCCUUGGUCCUGGAGGUUCCUUUAGAUGAGUCUGUUUCCACAUGUUGCAUCUCGGUGCUGUCACAGUGAGAUUCAGCAUUCAGAAUAGAACAGAGUAUCUGAGCUAAAAAGGAGUGGAAAUUCAUUUUUAAAAUUUUUGCACCUGCUCAGUUGAUUUUAAUAGGGAAGUAAAUUGACUACUUUCCAUCUCAGUUAAUCUGUGGAUUUGAUGCUUGGGUGAGGCUCUCCAGACUGAUUAGCAGGUUUAGUAAAUGAUACAGGGAAUAGUAACCACAUUCCGCAUGUGUUAGUGUCACAGUGCCAAGACUUCAUUUUCAGCCUCAUGAGUCUGCUGCACCUGAAGCGCUUAGAAUCAUGGUAGAGUUGCUUUUAAGAUGUGUCAUUUGUCUUUUAAAAUGGAAAUGACUACAUAGAUUGUCCUGAGUGUUGACUAUUUCUCCCAAUGUGAUGUUCACAUAAUGUAAAACACUGAAUUCCUCUUUUGUUUUUUUCUUCUUCUUUUUUAAUAUCUUCCCACUCCAUGGUUCUUAAAUGCAUUCUGAAAGACCUGUAAGGUUUCCAACAAUGUCUGUUCUUCUGAGAUUGUUUUUUUUUUUUCCAGCUCAACAAGACUAGGAUAACCUCCUCAAAGUAAACUUUGUCCAAAAACUCUGUGCAACUUCUCACUCUUCUGUUUAGAUUGCAUAUCAGCAUUUGUGGCUCAAAACAUUGGUUCAGUCAUCACAAUUGGAUUUUGUUCAGAAAAGUUGUCUGCUCUGAUUUUAAACUUCAUAAAACCUAUCUGGUAUUAUUUAUCGUUGAAUGAUGAGUUUUUAAAGAAAAGGUAGUGCUAACUGAAAAAUGUCAGGAUUCUUUAUUAUACAUACUGCUUUUGGAGUGAGGCAUUUAUAUGGACAAGCUAAUGGCUAGUUUAUUAGAACUCCACCUAAUUUUCUGCUUUUGCCUACAGCUGUAUUGUAACUACCUUUGAUCAUAAGGACUUGAUUGUUUAAAAUAAAUUCCAAGGAUUAUAGGAAAUGACUUUUUUCAGAUUUUGAUAUGAAGCUAGGCCACCUGUUUUUUUGGCAGUUGUGGUCUUUUCUAACUUUAUUCUUAGUUGUAAUGUUCCCCAAAACACUUGAGAAUAGAAUACAAAGGAGGCAUUACUUCUGGAGC